RNAcentral lists this ribosomal RNA (1524 nucleotides) under uncultured bacterium. RNAcentral's name for it is "16S ribosomal RNA". It matches the Rfam family "Bacterial small subunit ribosomal RNA". The record is from RNAcentral.
UUAGAGUUUGAUCCUGGCUCAGAACGAACGCUGGCGGCGUGGAUAAGACAUGCAAGUCGAACGGGAUUUCAUUUGUAGCAAUACAGAUGAAAUUCAGUGGCGCAAGGGUGCGUAACACGUGGGCAAUCUGCCGAAGAGUUGGGGAUAGCUCGCCGAAAGGCGAAUUAAUACCGAAUGUGAUCAGGGAGGACAUCCUUCCGACAUUAAAGCCGGGGCAACCUGGCGCUCUUUGAUGGGCCCGCGGCCUAUCAGCUUGUUGGUGAGGUAACGGCUCACCAAGGCUAUGACGGGUAGCUGGUCUGAGAGGACGACCAGCCACACUGGAACUGAGACACGGUCCAGACACCUACGGGUGGCAGCAGUCGAGAAUUUUUCUCAAUGGGGGAAACCCUGAAGGAGCGACGCCGCGUGGAGGAUGAAGGUCUUCGGGUUGUAAACUCCUGUCAUUUGGGAACAAGGUGCGCGCGUUAACUGCGCGCGCAUUGAUAGUACCAGAAGAGGAAGAGACGGCUAACUCUGUGCCAGCAGCCGCGGUAAUACAGAGGUCUCAAGCGUUGUUCGGAUUCAUUGGGCGUAAAGGGUGCGUAGGCGGCGCGGUAAGUCGGGUGUGAAAUUUCGAGGCUUAACUUCGAAACUGCAUUCGAUACUGCCGUGCUUGAGGACUGGAGAGGAGACUGGAAUUUACGGUGUAGCGGUGAAAUGCGUAGAUAUCGUAAGGAAGACCAGUGGCGAAGGCGGGUCUCUGGACAGUUCCUGACGCUGAGGCACGAAGGCCAGGGGAGCAAACGGGAUUAGAUACCCCGGUAGUCCUGGCAAUAAACGGUGCACGUUUGGUGUGGGAGGAUUCGACCCCUUCUGCGCCGGAGCUAACGCGUUAAACGUGCCGCCUGGGGAGUACGGUCGCAAGAUUAAAACUCAAAGAAAUUGACGGGGGCCCGCACAAGCGGUGGAGUAUGUGGCUUAAUUCGAUGCAACGCGAAGAACCUUACCUGGCCUUGACAUGCAUCUCUAAGCUGGUGAAAGCCAGUGAGUCCCGAAAGGGACAAUUUGCACAGGUGCUGCAUGGCUGUCGUCAGCUCGUGUCGUGAGAUGUUGGGUUAAGUCCCGCAACGAGCGCAACCCCUGUGAACUGUUGCCACCAAGCCGUGAGGCUUGAGCACUCUGUUCAGACUGCCCUGUGAAACGGGGAGGAAGGUGGGGACGACGUCAAGUCAGUAUGGCCCUUACGGCCAGGGCUGCACACGUACUACAAUGCCCAGUACAGAACGAUCCGAGACCGCGAGGUGGAGGAAAUCUAGUAAAACUGGGCCCAGUUCGGAUUGGAGUCUGCAACUCGACUCCAUGAAGCCGGAAUCGCUAGUAAUGGCGCAUCAGCUACGGCGCCGUGAAUACGUUCCCGGGCCUUGUACACACCGCCCGUCACAUCAUGGAAGUCGCUUGUAGCCGAAGCCGGCGCGCUAACCGCAAGGAGGCAGCCGCCUACGCUAUGAGCGGUAACUGGGAUGAAGUCGUAACAAGGUAACC